This 117-nucleotide ribosomal RNA is filed under the name Fasciola hepatica (liver fluke). Lineage: Eukaryota; Metazoa; Platyhelminthes; Trematoda; Plagiorchiida; Fasciolidae. The record is from RNAcentral.
GCGAUCGUACCACGUUAGAAAUGCCGGUUCUUGUUCAAUCACCGAAACUAAGCAACUUUGAACCCGCGUUAAUACUGGUAUGGUGGUAAUCUACUAAGAAUAUCGGGUGUUGCGGCU